This 301-nucleotide ribosomal RNA is filed under the name uncultured bacterium. RNAcentral describes it as "partial 16S ribosomal RNA". It matches the Rfam family "Bacterial small subunit ribosomal RNA", at positions 509 to 809 of the family's 1533-position model. The record is from RNAcentral.
CAGCCGCCACGGGAAUACAGAGGAUGCAAGCGUUAUCCGGAAUUAUUGGGCGUAAAGGGUUCGCAGGCGGUUUCUUAAGUCUGAUGUGAAAGCCCCCGGCUCAACCGGGGAGGGUCAUUGGAAACUGGGAAACUUGAGUGCAGAAGAGGAGAGUGGAAUUCCACGUGUAGCGGUGAAAUGCGUAGAGAUGUGGAGGAACACCAGUGGCGAAGGCGACUCUCUGGUCUGUAACUGACGCUGAGGAGCGAAAGCGUGGGGAGCGAACAGGAUUAGAUACCCGAGUAGUCCCUGUCUCUUAUAA